RNAcentral lists this small RNA (125 nucleotides) under Marmota monax (woodchuck). The record is from RNAcentral. Lineage: Eukaryota; Metazoa; Chordata; Mammalia; Rodentia; Sciuridae.
GCCGGGUGUGAUGGCGCACGCCUGUCAUCCCAGCGGCUCGGGAGGCUGAGACAGGAGGAUCGCGAGUUCAAAGCCAGCCUCAGCCAAAGCGAGGCCCUAAGCAACUCAGUGAGACCCUGUCUCCA